UACGUAGGAGGCGAGCGUUGUCCGGAAUCACUGGGUGUAAAGCGCGUGUAGGCGGCCUGCCAAGUCUGCUGUGAAAGCGCCUGGCUUAACCGGGCGAGGUCGGUGGAAACUGGCGGGCUGGAGGACGGUAGAGGGGGGUGGAAUUCCCGGUGUAGUGGUGAAAUGCGUAGAGAUCGGGAGGAACACCAGUGGCGAAGGCAGCCAUCUGGACCGACACUGACGCUGAGGCGCGAAAGCGUGGGGAGCAAACAGG
This 253-nucleotide ribosomal RNA is filed under the name uncultured bacterium. RNAcentral's name for it is "partial 16S ribosomal RNA". It matches the Rfam family "Bacterial small subunit ribosomal RNA", at positions 524 to 776 of the family's 1533-position model. The record is from RNAcentral.